AAAUAUCGCUCACCUGAGCUCUUCAUCAGCUUGUCAAAGCUCUUGCCCCAACUACGGAUUUCCUCUAAUGAAUUCGGAAUUAGCGAGAUCACGCUUUGUGGGCGCAUUUUCAUCGGCAUUCUUGAUGGCCAGACUGUAAGCAUAAUAAAAAAAUAUUGGAAAUUA
This is a long non-coding RNA of Drosophila guanche, 165 nucleotides long. RefSeq lists it as uncharacterized. The record is from RefSeq and is a predicted model, not a curated record. The transcript is spliced from 2 exons. Lineage: Eukaryota; Metazoa; Arthropoda; Insecta; Diptera; Drosophilidae.